Long non-coding RNA from Lotus japonicus, 1534 nucleotides. RefSeq lists it as uncharacterized. The transcript has 2 exons. NCBI's taxonomy places the organism in Eukaryota, Viridiplantae, Streptophyta, Magnoliopsida, Fabales, Fabaceae. The record is from RefSeq and is a predicted model, not a curated record.
UGCACCACAAAGUGACACGUGUCCCCACAAUCCCCCGCUUUCACUCACUUGGCUUCACCCACACGAGUUCUUCUCCACCACUUCGAGUCCCUCCACUGCCGCCGUCAUCAUCCGUCUGCUUCCCCUCCCCCUCUCUGUCGCGUUUGCAGUCCCCCACUCCUGGUGAAACUUCCUCUCUCAAUCCCUAAAUUGCAUUCGCGUUCCUACCUCUCUCUGAAGCUUCCCCGUGCCUCUUUGCCCAAGGAAUCAAUUCAACCUUGGUGCAGCAACGAUCCCUCUCCCCGUAUGUGCUAUCCUCUCUCUUCUCUUUCUGCUUCACUUUUUCUUCUACCUAUUCAAUUGUUUUGUGAAGCCCUUUUCCUUUGGAUUUUUUAUCGACAUUUUUUUUUCUGGGCAGCAACGAUCUCUCUCCGCGUAAGCUGAGAGAAGUUGUGGAACAUAUUUGUUUCCUCAAAUCCUGUGUUAGAAGCAUCUUGAUUUUUUUAUUUUGUUUUUUCUAUAAUUUAUUGGCUGGUCCUGUUGAAACAUGUGUUAACAAGGUCUUCUUUGGUGUCGACAGGUCAUGGAGUGCAGCUACUGCUCAGUUUUUUUAAGUUGGAUUCAUUGAUUGCAAUAUUAUAUGUCUCCUUUGAGAUUCUUGAUUUUUUUUAGUUGCAGUGUACAUUUGUCCCUUUGCUUUCUGGUCUGGGAGUAACAACUUCUGUACUUUUUUUUAGUUUGUGAUAUUUAAGAAAGUUUUAUGACUGGUUAUUCUUUUCCCUUCAAUGCUCCCUAUUUUUUUCCCACAUACUUUAUGACUGAUUAUUGUUUUGACUGAUUAGUUUCAAAUUAGUUGUAAGUUCAUAUUGUUUCUUUUAAGUAUUAUCUCUUAUGGUAACUCAUUUCCUUCAUGAAUUGUCAAGUUGAGCUUUUCUCAAGUCUUUUCCAUGAAUUCUUUUUGGAUUUGUUUAUCUCAUUAGGUUAAUUUUCGUUGGUGGUCUAUCAAAUCAUUUUUUGGCUUUUUGUUUUGUGGUCAAAGUAGAUGAGUAAUUUAAUUUCCAACCUCCAUGUUGGAGAGGUUAAAAUUCAAUUGGUUGGUUUAUGUUUCAUAUUGGUUUAAAGGGAUGAUAACGCUCUUGACUAUACCUUCCAGGUAUUAUGGGGAAAAUGCUCACUGCUCUGAACAUUCUUAGCUUAAUUGCUGCAAAAGGGUUACCCUGUUCAGUUUUCAAGGUUGUUAGAUAUGAGAAAGAUAAAGAAAACACUUAGUGGACUAAUUAGUAGUCUCAGUUAUGCAAAUAAGCUGCAAUAAAUUCCUGUUUAUAAUGUAAUCCAUAUUGCAGAAGAAAAAUUGAUUGGCAUUGCUCAAUGGGUCUUUUAGCAGCAAAAUAGUUGAACGAGAGGAGAGUUUGAACAUUGUCGGAUGCCUCAAAUUUUGAACACUGUCACAUUGUCAUUUGUUUCAAUUGGCAAUGCUUAAGUAGAUCCUCCAAUGGGGUUUUGAGGGGUUUAUUGUUAUUUCUUCAAUUUAUUGGCUGGUGCUAUUUUGUUUCAA